UAACGCUUAACGGGCUGUCUUGACCUUGCGCGCAAUGAAGGACAGAAGAAACAGAGGUUGCCGCAGACGGGCAGAACCCGCCUUGACAUUACCCCCAUUAUCUAAGGAAAUCCAAAGCCUCUACAAUCAAUCCAAAUAAGCGAAAUUAUAGUUUCGACAAAAUUUAGUAGAUGUGAUCACGAUCUAGAAUAGCUUGAGAAAAUAGCCAAUUGGGGGG
RNAcentral lists this unclassified non-coding RNA (217 nucleotides) under Hevea brasiliensis (rubber tree). The record is from RNAcentral. Lineage: Eukaryota; Viridiplantae; Streptophyta; Magnoliopsida; Malpighiales; Euphorbiaceae.